Chelonia mydas (Green sea turtle) is the source of this 3213-nucleotide long non-coding RNA. RefSeq lists it as uncharacterized. The record is from RefSeq and is a predicted model, not a curated record. The transcript is spliced from 3 exons. NCBI's taxonomy places the organism in Eukaryota, Metazoa, Chordata, Testudines, Cheloniidae.
GUGGGGUUCUAUAAACAGGAACACGGUGGACAAGUGACUCUCCCCGGCAAAGGGGACUUUGAACCGGCCUCCCUCCGGCGCCGCAGUUCAAACCCGGGAGUCCCAGGAAAUACCGCUGCCGCCGCUCGGACAAGAGCUGGAAGUGAUUGGGGGAGGGAGAGAGUUUACUUGAAUUCACACCCUGGCACUGGCCCCCCGGCAGAUAUCACGGGGGAUUCAGAGGGGAUCUGUGUCUGUUUACAUUCGCAGUUGGAAGAUAUUCACCAAACCGGAACGGUCUUCUCCACACACAUCCCCCCCAAUCACCCCACAUUAGAUAAAUCGGUACCUUCCACCCCCAACAAAUAGCACGUUAACAUCGGGCACCUUUAAAGUCUCUGCAGGUGCCUUACACAGAUCUGUAACCGCGGCAUGCAAAACCGCUGUCCCGCCUCGCCCGCGUUUCGGAGAGCAGAGUGAAUACAAGUGUUUGAAGCUGCGGGCUGUUGGGGUUUUUUGUGGGUCAGCACGGUCUGACUGGUUAAGUCAAUCAAGGAGUCUGGUUUGACACUCGAACCAUCUUCAGCCGGAGCCGCUCCUUAAUGGAUCUGAUCUGUGACUUGUUGAUUUCCCCUGAGCAAAUACGGCUUUGAUGCAGUCCCAGCGAGAGUGGUUAGCUGAUGAAUUGACAAAAACUAAUCAGCUUUAUUGGGAAACAGGUUAAGGGCAGCGGAGUGUCAAUAAUUCUCAGCCUGACCCCCUCAUCCAUUAAGAGAGGCAGGCUGAUUAGACCAAGGAGACCCUUUGCUUUUUGCACUGAAAUUGCUUUCAUAAACUCACCAUUAUUAGCAGUCAAUGCAAGCAGCUAAUUUAGAGGAGACAUCUCUGGGAUGUCACAUUUAUCAUGGAGGUUUAUGUAUCAUUAUCUCAUUUACAGAAUGUCGCAGUGUAAUAUGUGUUUUUGGCAAUAUUGCUGGCCCAGUGCCUACCAUUGGUUAUUUCUUGUAGAGAACAUCUGGGCGUUUUGAAUUCAGCUCUGUGGGUUUAAUUUAAUAUAAAAGAAUGCAAUCCAGUCCCUUUAAUACAAACUAACUUGACCCCACUCCGGGCUGGGUAGAGAGUCAGACAAGGCUCUUAAUACGAACCUUUGAAAUUUUAAUAACUUCAGCUACUAUUUGAUUGUCUUUUAAUAAAAGGCAACAGGCACCUUUAUUAAAGAAACGACAAUGGGGAAACUGAGCAUGAUCAUCUCGCUCCUCUUCAUCGCUGUGUGUAAACGCUGAGAGCUGACUGGAUCGCCUCUGAACGCAUCGGGACCAGAACAUAAAAUGGUCUUUGAGCAGGAUGCGCUCUGCGGGACCCACUUGGUCGCCUGUGGCUCGGAAGACCUGCCAGACGGCACUGUAAAUUCCACGCCUUGCCCUUUCUUUUGAAAUGAACUGAUACUCAGCGGCUUGUACCGCCAAACGUUCCUGGGGUAAACAGAGGAGACCCUUCAUUAAAGGAGACCACCCAGAGACGCCCUGAGAGGUGUCACCGAGGUUGGGCCUUGUGCUAAUCUCCGCCGAGAUAAAGCCAUGUUCCCCUUAUUGUUUUCACCUGGGCAAUAUACUGGAUCAACACAGGUGCAGGAAUUCCUAUUGCUCUCCACAACCUGCUCUAAAGGACACUUUGCACAAUGCUCAGCUGUGAGUUGGGAGCUGUCUGGACAGGAAGCCCUACCCCAUUUAUUCUGCUUUGAUAUAGGAGUCUCCUUCCCCCGCCCGCCCAAAUAUACUCAUGACAGCGGUAUUCAAUACAAGAUGUUCUGAACAUCUAAAUCUUUCCCUAAGCAUGAAAUAUGAAACAGGGGGGCGGAAACGGUGGUCUAGAAAGUGAUCUGGCCAGAAAGCAAUCCUUUGUUUCUGGCUGUGAGGGUCAAUGGGAAUAGGCCCCUGUCUUUGGAGGCCCUUUGUUCUGGUUUGUUUUGUUUUCAGUUCGUAGGGCUACACCAGCGCUGCGUUUCCAAAGGGCGCAUUGUUUAAAUGGGGGAGCUGCCCCCACAGGAACCUGACAGAAGGCAGCUGAACUCCAAGGCCCUUUCCCAGCUGAUUUCCCAGCUGAGCUGAAGAGCUGCCAGGGGUCACAGGGGACCCUUUAACGAGUUCAUUAGCCAGAUUAUCUCUGCCUGCAGCUCGGGGAGGGGCAGGCCGCUGAACUUUCUACGCUGGUUCUAGGAACUCGAAGCAAACAGGAGGGCUCACUAGGAAGGGAAAAGUAGUUUAAAAAACUCCUCCUAGAAAGCUCGACAGGACAAUUUAGCUACCCCCAGAUAUAAACCGGCCACGGACUGGAUCGUGUCCACAGAGGGAGGUGGCAAUACAAUGAAAGGGGGGAAAAACCCACAGGGGAGACGUUCAUUACGGGUCCAGGUCCUGUAAAUUGGAAGGUGUUUGUGGCUCUUGUAUUGUAUUGCAAGAUGCCUCGAAGGAGACUGUGUCUGGAUUCCCUUUUCCUAGCCGGACAGCUGCCGUUUCUGCCACCUCAGCACAGCUAAAUAUACCAAUUAACUGAAACUUCCUGUCAUUAUCCGCCUUGAUUGAAACAUUUUAGUGCUGCUAUUCGUGUAUCAGAAUAGGCCCGAAGUUCAAUUCCUGCAGCCGACUAUGUAUGUUGAUAGGUUAAAUUGGAAACUGAAUAUAGAUACUAUCACAUCUGGAAAGGCAUAUCAGAUACCCAGCUAGAGAGGAACAGUAUCCAAUAGGUCUUCCCAGGUGUGUUAUGUAGACGACGGCUACAUGAAACCCCGUGCCUAAGUGAACCGGCAAAUGCAGCCAUCUCGAGGUUGUGCAGUCCUUGGUGAGGGGAAGCUCUAGCAGAAGUCGAGGGUAGAUUGGCCUGAGCCAGGGCUGCGAGAGGCGUUGGAAGAGUCUGUUCUGCCGAGCUCGUGUGCUGGUGACACUUUGCGGAUUUCCGUGCCUUGUGCCAGCAACCGCUACAAGCCUCCCUAUGUCAGGCACAGACGGGCCAAAGUAACAGCCAUGGAGGACCCAGCGCAGAUAACCCACCAGGCAGGGGACUGAUCCCAGCUCUGUCAGGAGGACGAAGGGCAACUGGGGCGUUCACGCUGCUGCUGGUGCGUUUGCUGCAGGGGAGGCCCGGAUCCCAAGCCCUUUGAAGCUCAUGGAAAGACCCCCACUGGCUUCAAUGGGCUUUGCUUCAAAAAUAAAGCACCAGAAAGUAGCAGGUCGGAAG